GGGGGCGACAAGGUUUCGACGGGGAUACAUGAACCAUGAACCACGUGUCGAGUUGCACGGGACUCGUAAAACAAGUGCACUUAAAGUAACUGCAGAUAACAAUCUCGCACUCGCAGCCUAAAUAAAGGCUGCCGGCCAUCCGGAGUUGCCUGUGGCUCCAAAAUGGUUGUCAUACGAUUACAGGCUGGUUUGCCGGUUUGGACCUAGGGACCGGUUGACGAGACUUACUGGGUGGGGAUGGUUGAGUUUUGGCCCCGGUUAACCUCUUCCAUCCGACAUUGAACUGGGGAAACACACGUAAACGUUGAUGGGGACGGUUCUCGGACCCGGGUUCGAUUCCCGGCGCCUCCACCA
RNAcentral lists this transfer-messenger RNA (354 nucleotides) under Acanthopleuribacteraceae. Its description in RNAcentral is "JACJWC01 sp020637335 Standard tmRNA". It matches the Rfam family "transfer-messenger RNA". From Rfam's summary of the family: Bacterial tmRNA, also known as 10Sa RNA or SsrA, is named for its dual tRNA and mRNA-like properties. RNAcentral also lists the same sequence under 2 other names. Lineage: Bacteria; Pseudomonadati; Acidobacteriota; Holophagae; Acanthopleuribacterales. The record is from RNAcentral.